Molecule: ribosomal RNA, 305 nt
Filed under: uncultured bacterium
Lineage: Bacteria
Description: bacterial SSU rRNA
Rfam family: Bacterial small subunit ribosomal RNA
Source: RNAcentral
GUCCUACGGGGGGCAGCAGUGGGGAAUAUUGCACAAUGGGGGAAACCCUGAUGCAGCGACGCCGCGUGAGUGAAGAAGUAUUUCGGUACGUAAAGCUCUAUCAGCAGGGAAGAAAAACCGGCCUUAGGGCCGCCAGACGGUACCUGACUAAGAAGCCCCGGCUAACUACGUGCCAGCAGCCGCGGUAAUACGUAGGGGGCAAGCGUUAUCCGGAUUUACUGGGUGUAAAGGGAGCGUAGGUGGCAUGGUAAGCCAGAAGUGAAAACCCAGGGCUCAACUCUGUGGAUUGCUUUUGGAACUAUCAA